RNAcentral lists this ribosomal RNA (40 nucleotides) under uncultured fungus. RNAcentral describes it as "partial 28S ribosomal RNA". The record is from RNAcentral. Lineage: Eukaryota; Fungi.
UCGAUCUCAAAUCAGGUAGGACUACCCGCUGAACUUAAGC